AACGAACGCUGGCGGCAGGCCUAACACAUGCAAGUCGAACGAGAAGCUACCUUCGGGUAGUGGAAAGUGGCAGACGGGUGAGUAACGCGUGGGAAUAUACCUAGAGGUACGGGACAACGCCGGGAAACUGGUGCUAAUACCGUAUAAGCCCUUCGGGGGAAAGAUUUAUCGCCUUUAGAUUAGCCCGCGUUAGAUUAGCUUGUUGGUGAGGUAAAAGCUCACCAAGGCGACGAUCUAUAGCUGGUCUGAGAGGAUGAUCAGCCACACUGGGACUGAGACACGGCCCAGACUCCUNACGGGAGGCAGCAGUGGGGAAUCUUGCACAAUGGGCGAAAGCCUGAUGCAGCCAUGCCACGUGAGUGAUGAAGGCCUUAGGGUUGUAAAACUCUUUCAGUGGGGAAGAUAAUGACGGUACCCACAGAAGAAGCUACCGCUAAC
Molecule: ribosomal RNA, 438 nt
Filed under: uncultured bacterium
Lineage: Bacteria
Description: bacterial SSU rRNA
Rfam family: Bacterial small subunit ribosomal RNA
Source: RNAcentral